GGCUUUGUAGCUCACCUGGUAGAGCGUUUGCCGCCUUGAGGCAUGGUGUUUCUGUCGUUGGUUCAAAUCCAGCUGAAGCCC
Molecule: transfer RNA, 81 nt
Filed under: Paragonimus skrjabini miyazakii
Lineage: Eukaryota; Metazoa; Platyhelminthes; Trematoda; Plagiorchiida; Troglotrematidae
Description: Paragonimus miyazakii tRNA
Rfam family: tRNA
About the family: Transfer RNA (tRNA) molecules are approximately 80 nucleotides in length.
Source: Rfam by way of RNAcentral